Scophthalmus maximus (turbot) is the source of this 1379-nucleotide long non-coding RNA. RefSeq lists it as uncharacterized. The record is from RefSeq and is a predicted model, not a curated record. Lineage: Eukaryota; Metazoa; Chordata; Actinopteri; Pleuronectiformes; Scophthalmidae. The transcript is spliced from 5 exons.
GAUAUACAACGGAAAGGUGGGCUGAGGCUGCGGCGGUGGAGGCUGUAGGGUGAAGCCCUUUUUAGGCGGUCCAGGGGGAUCUGGACACAGUCGGAGUAGAUCUCUGUCAGCAGGAAAGCUCCUGAUGCCAGCUGCAGACGCACCUGGUUAGAGAACACGUGGACAUUAGUCUCUGCAGAUAAACAGUGGGACUUGAGAGGAAUCUGCUUUCCUGAUGAAAUGGAGGACCUGAGUCUGCCCAGUUGAAACCUGGAACAUGUAAAAAAUAUCUACAUUUGAAUUGGACAUAAUAUGCGCCACUCCAAGGUAACCUAAACACAAACACUGCCAUGAAGGAAGUUUAGCGCUAUAGUAGUAUAAUCAUUCAAAGCCACAAAAACAUUGGUGCCCAAACUGAAGGUGUAUCACUCAAAAAAGGUUAAAAUAAAUACAUGCCAAUGAGAACAUUCUAAAAACAAACAAACAUUAAAACGAGUCAAUUUUAACAUAAGUAAUUUUUCUCUAAUAACAGUUUCAUUUAAUUUGAAUGUUUUCUUUACCUGGUGCCAAAGAAGCUCUCCAUAGACUUGCUCUCUAUAGAUCGCUGUGAGCGAGUGCAUGGGGCGCCAGCGAUUGCUGGAGCUGUCGCAGAGUUGGCACAACCCCCUACACCUAAGACAGCAGCGUGGAAUAAAACAUUAACCGACUCGGCUUGAGUUUGAACGGGCUUUCUGGUAGGACGCCUCUAACCUUUGGACUACGCUGCAGAGGAGUGUUCUCACCGAGCGAGUCGACAGUAAUACUUACUAGAGUCCCAGGAUGUAAGGCUACAUGAGUUCCAGGUGUCCUCCAUCUCCUCACUGUCUCUACUGGUACGCCGUCGGCCCAAACCUAUAGAAUAGGCUCGCUGCCUACGACUACCUGACUGGGAACCCCUGCUCCCCAAAUACACCCCUGCACACACGGACCACAAAUACAGAAUGACAUUAGUCCCUGGUGUCCCCUCGCCCUCAGGGGUCCAGAGGUGCCCCAGGUCAACACUGACCUCCCAGGACACUGGCCUGCCGCUGAGCAGGCCGUGAAUGAGCGAGCGGCACUGACCUGGAGGGGGAUCCUCUGGCUGGACGGCAGUGAAGAGGUACUCUGGAUCUGUGAAGUUGUCCCAGUCCAUAGGAGAGGCGGGGAACAGAAGACCAUCUGUGGGUCAGAGUGAGAAAGUGAGGGGUAGAUAUUUGAUGCACAAUCCCGGUUUUCUUAGUAGUGUCUUACUGGAGUCAGUGAGGCUUCUGUGGGACAGUGCCCCUCGUGGCGGGGGCUUCGUUUCCCCGUCACUUUCGUCCAGCCUCCCUCCCAGCGCUUGGUCGAAGGAGACCCUCUCCAGAGCUCUCCUCAAACGAUGC